GCUCUACACCCUUUGUGACAUACCUAUAACUGUUGCUUCGGCGGGUAGGGUCUCCGCGACCCUCCCGGCCUCCCGCCUCCGGGCGGGUCGGCGCCCGCCGGAGGAUAACCAAACUCUGAUUUAACGACGUUUCUACUGAGUGGUACAAGCAAAUAAUCAAAACUUUUAACAACGGAUCUCUUGGUUCUGGCAUCGAUGAAGAACGCAGCGAAAUGCGAUAAGUAAUGUGAAUUGCAGAAUUCAGUGAAUCAUCGAAUCUUUGAACGCACAUUGCGCCCGCCAGCAUUCUGGCGGGCAUGCCUGUUCGAGCGUCAUUUCAACCCUCAAGCUCUGCUUGGUGUUGGGGCCCUACAGCUGAUGUAGGCCCUCAAAGGUAGUGGCGGACCCUCUCGGAGCCUCCUUUGCGUAGUAACUUUACGUCUCGCACUGGGAUCCGGAGGGACUCUUGCCGUAAAACCCCCAAUUUUCCAAAGGUUGACCUCGGAUCAGGUAGGAAUACCCGCUGAACUUAAGCAUAUCAAUAAGGCGGAGGAA
This 534-nucleotide ribosomal RNA is filed under the name Colletotrichum sp. G1B MS-2016. Its description in RNAcentral is "eukaryotic LSU rRNA". The stretch from base 161 to 314 matches the Rfam family "5.8S ribosomal RNA". The record is from RNAcentral. Lineage: Eukaryota; Fungi; Ascomycota; Sordariomycetes; Glomerellales; Glomerellaceae.